UACGAAGGGUGCAAGCGUUAAUCGGAAUUACUGGGCGUAAAGCGUGCGUAGGCGGUUCGUUAAGUCUGUCGUGAAAGCCCUGGGCUCAACCUGGGAAUGGCGAUGGAUACUGGCGAGCUAGAGUGUGAUAGAGGAUGGCGGAAUUCCCGGUGUAGCGGUGAAAUGCGUAGAGAUCGGGAGGAACAUCCGUGGCGAAGGCGGCCAUCUGGAUCAACACUGACGCUGAGGCACGAAAGCGUGGGGAGCAAACAGG
Molecule: ribosomal RNA, 253 nt
Filed under: uncultured bacterium
Lineage: Bacteria
Description: partial 16S ribosomal RNA
Rfam family: Bacterial small subunit ribosomal RNA
Source: RNAcentral